Molecule: long non-coding RNA, 472 nt
Organism: Manis pentadactyla (Chinese pangolin)
Lineage: Eukaryota; Metazoa; Chordata; Mammalia; Pholidota; Manidae
Exons: 3
Source: RefSeq, a predicted model, not a curated record
CCUCAUUGGGCAGAGCCACCUGACGAGGCUGGUCAGCAGAAUGGAACUCUCCCCCUACUCCGGGACUGAAUUUAACUCCAGACCUGUGUGGUGACUGAGAUGCAGAAGAAAGUGGCAAGAGGCAGUCUGAGUGAGCAGGAAAGAAGGUCGUUUCUUUGCAUUCUGAUUUAAUCAACAAUAAUGUUAUUAGAAGCAGCUGCCAAACCACGUGCAGUGUCUUCUGAGGACCUUCCGAAACACCUCCGAGGGGACAUCUACACAGGGGUGCAGGAGACGCAGCUUCACGCGCAGACAUCCUGCUUCUGGUCGUCACAGCUCUGCAGCCUCUUUAGGUGGUUACUACGCCUUCUUGUGUUUACUUGUGUUUAUGGAGAGAAGCCAAUGGUUCCUGAAGGUCAGUGGAAGGAAAACUCUUCCUUUCCCUAAAUCCAAGACGCAAAACCUUUCUCAAGAUUCAUAACAAGUCUUUAGU